UUCGAGUGGCGGACGGGUGAGUAACGCGUGGGGAACCUGCCUCAUACAGGGGGAUACCAGCCGGAAACGGCUGUUAAAACCGCAUAAGACCACAGAGCCGCAUGGCUCAGGGGUAAAAACUCCGGUGGUAUGAGAUGGACCCGCGUUCGAUUAGCCAGUUGGCGGGGUAACGGCCCACCAAAGCGACGAUCGAUAGCCGAUCUGAGAGGAUGACCGGCCACAUUGGGACUGAGACACGGCCCAAACUCC
RNAcentral lists this ribosomal RNA (249 nucleotides) under uncultured Moryella sp. RNAcentral describes it as "partial 16S ribosomal RNA". It matches the Rfam family "Bacterial small subunit ribosomal RNA", at positions 90 to 339 of the family's 1533-position model. The record is from RNAcentral. Lineage: Bacteria; Bacillati; Bacillota; Clostridia; Lachnospirales; Lachnospiraceae.